This 1248-nucleotide ribosomal RNA is filed under the name Enterococcus gallinarum. Its description in RNAcentral is "bacterial SSU rRNA". It matches the Rfam family "Bacterial small subunit ribosomal RNA", at positions 153 to 1390 of the family's 1533-position model. The record is from RNAcentral. Lineage: Bacteria; Bacillati; Bacillota; Bacilli; Lactobacillales; Enterococcaceae.
GAAACAGGUGCUAAUACCGUAUAACACUAUUUUCCGCAUGGAAGAAAGUUGAAAGGCGCUUUUGCGUCACUGAUGGAUGGACCCGCGGUGCAUUAGCUAGUUGGUGAGGUAACGGCUCACCAAGGCCACGAUGCAUAGCCGACCUGAGAGGGUGAUCGGCCACACUGGGACUGAGACACGGCCCAGACUCCUACGGGAGGCAGCAGUAGGGAAUCUUCGGCAAUGGACGAAAGUCUGACCGAGCAACGCCGCGUGAGUGAAGAAGGUUUUCGGAUCGUAAAACUCUGUUGUUAGAGAAGAACAAGGAUGAGAGUAGAACGUUCAUCCCUGACGGUAUCUAACCAGAAAGCCACGGCUAACUACGUGCCAGCAGCCGCGGUAAUACGUAGGUGGCAAGCGUUGUCCGGAUUUAUUGGGCGUAAAGCGAGCGCAGGCGGUUUCUUAAGUCUGAUGUGAAAGCCCCCGGCUCAACCGGGGAGGGUCAUUGGAAACUGGGAGACUUGAGUGCAGAAGAGGAGAGUGGAAUUCCAUGUGUAGCGGUGAAAUGCGUAGAUAUAUGGAGGAACACCAGUGGCGAAGGCGGCUCUCUGGUCUGUAACUGACGCUGAGGCUCGAAAGCGUGGGGAGCGAACAGGAUUAGAUACCCUGGUAGUCCACGCCGUAAACGAUGAGUGCUAAGUGUUGGAGGGUUUCCGCCCUUCAGUGCUGCAGCAAACGCAUUAAGCACUCCGCCUGGGGAGUACGACCGCAAGGUUGAAACUCAAAGGAAUUGACGGGGGCCCGCACAAGCGGUGGAGCAUGUGGUUUAAUUCGAAGCAACGCGAAGAACCUUACCAGGUCUUGACAUCCUUUGACCACUCUAGAGAUAGAGCUUCCCCUUCGGGGGCAAAGUGACAGGUGGUGCAUGGUUGUCGUCAGCUCGUGUCGUGAGAUGUUGGGUUAAGUCCCGCAACGAGCGCAACCCUUAUUGUUAGUUGCCAUCAUUUAGUUGGGCACUCUAGCGAGACUGCCGGUGACAAACCGGAGGAAGGUGGGGAUGACGUCAAAUCAUCAUGCCCCUUAUGACCUGGGCUACACACGUGCUACAAUGGGAAGUACAACGAGUUGCGAAGUCGCGAGGCUAAGCUAAUCUCUUAAAGCUUCUCUCAGUUCGGAUUGUAGGCUGCAACUCGCCUACWUGAAGCCGGAAUCGCUAGUAAUCGCGGAUCAGCACGCCGCGGUGAAUACGUUCCCGGGCCUUGUACACAC